ACUAACAAUAUCGCAAUCCAAUGAUGUAAUAGUACUAUUACAGUAAUACGAUGAAACAAUUAUUUUAUUAGAAGAUAUUUUCAUAAUUCCAAAAACAAAAAAAAAAACUUUUUGUACUUGAAGUCAAUUUUUAAUUAUAAUCAGAAAGAUAUUUAAUGGCAAUUAAAACUCAAAAAUUUUCGUACAAAACACAUUAGUAACCAUUUUGUUUAUUUGUUAGCUGGUAUCUUUUACUUUAUUACAUAGGAGUACUUAAUUAGUAUGGAUACUCUUUAAUCUUUUCAGAAGUAGCAGAAAAGUGAACAAAGUGAAAAAGAAAAAGAAAAAAAAAAAAGACUACAACCCGAAUUCCCAAUUUCCUCAAGACCCAAAAGUUGAAAAUCCCAAACCCUUCCCCCCAAAAGCUAUCCACGAAAAUUUCCCCCCUCCUUGGCAACUUUAACCAGCCAGCCCUAAGUUGUCCCUCCUCUCUCGGCAAACAUGAAUCUUCAAGGGACCUCGUUGAGUUAGAUAAACUUCAAGAUUCUUUGUUAUAGCUGCAUAAUUGCUUAAGAGAGCAGAUGAGUUGGUGAGACAUAGUAACCUUCAUCAUCAGUGGAUAUAGGAAGGUGGCAGUCCUGCUGAAUCAGGAGGUUUCAAUGAUGUUUCUUGGUGAGAUGAUUGAUGGAGUAUCAUAAGAUAUUAUUUACUGCUCACUUUCUCUUGGACGUUCACAAGAAACAUUGCCUUCCAUGCAUUUGACACAAUCUACUAAUGGCUCUCAACUUGCCAUAGCAAGGACUUUCUUCGUGUAGGUUAUUCACCAGAGACGAGACCUGGUACUGGAAAAGCAUCGGAGCACUUCUCGGGUUUCACUUUUCUUCAACGUCCACUGAUGACUAUGAUCACUAUCCAGUCUCACAUAACUAAAUUUUCUCUUCAAUUUUUUUAUCCAUGUUGUAGAGAGUUAUUAUAUUGUGGAUUUACGGGGACAUGAUGAAACUAUAAUUUCUCUUGUAAAAGCGUAUGGAUAUGCUUGAGUAGAAAUAGAACAACAUUUUUCUAUUUUAAUUAAUGAUAUUGUUGAAC
Lycium barbarum (goji berry) is the source of this 1068-nucleotide long non-coding RNA. RefSeq lists it as uncharacterized. The transcript is spliced from 4 exons. NCBI's taxonomy places the organism in Eukaryota, Viridiplantae, Streptophyta, Magnoliopsida, Solanales, Solanaceae. The record is from RefSeq and is a predicted model, not a curated record.